AUUAAUUAUUCUCUCUCUUCAUUUGCUUCCUCCGUGUUCUAUACGCGUUGUCUAUGGCUUGGUUAUUCUCAUUAUUCUUUGGAACCGUUUUCCCAAAUCCUCUGAAUAUUCUCCCAAAAUUCUCUCAAACUCCCUCCCAAAAUUUCCCAAAUUUCCCAAUCUCUUCUGAUAUUUCAUGGGUUCGUUCUAAUAUUUGUGAUUCAAGUUUCCAAUCUCCUCAUGGCAAAUCUCUUUUUUCUAUAUUCUACACAAUUCCUAAAUCAUUUGUCCUGAUAUUUGAUGCUCUGUCCAACCUUACUCUCUCACUAGAAGCACCGCGUUUUCAUCUAAGGAUUCAAAACGACUAUGGUUCCAGACUACAUUACAGGGAAGAGUGCAAACAUCUCUCACAUGAUAUGUAGGAAAUGUUUCAGUUGAGGAAAGUGUUGAUUCUGGAUGGUUGGUGGCUUUCCCUUCUUCCUAACCAAUAAAUUACAGGGACAUUUUUUUUGCAGAGAGAAGGGAUAUCAAUUUUUAAAAAGUUUGGAAAAUUGUGAUUAGAAGAAAUAAAUUGUGAACCAACUUCACAAGGUGCAAUGGAAAAGAAAUCUAAAAUUGAUAUGUUUAGUACAAUAUGUAUGAUCUCUACGCUCAACCUGAAAUGAUAAGAUUUCUUGAAAGUGUUA
Long non-coding RNA from Lotus japonicus, 665 nucleotides. RefSeq lists it as uncharacterized. NCBI's taxonomy places the organism in Eukaryota, Viridiplantae, Streptophyta, Magnoliopsida, Fabales, Fabaceae. The transcript has 2 exons. The record is from RefSeq and is a predicted model, not a curated record.